This 496-nucleotide ribosomal RNA is filed under the name uncultured bacterium. Its description in RNAcentral is "partial 16S ribosomal RNA". It matches the Rfam family "Bacterial small subunit ribosomal RNA", at positions 28 to 507 of the family's 1533-position model. The record is from RNAcentral.
GAUGAACGCUGGCGGCGUGCCUAAUACAUGCAAGUCGAGCGAACGGACGAGAAGCUUGCUUCUCUGAUGUUAGCGGCGGACGGGUGAGUAACACGUGGAUAACCUACCUAUAAGACUGGGAUAACUUCGGGAAACCGGAGCUAAUACCGGAUAAUAUUUUGAACCGCAUGGUUCAAAAGUGAAAGACGGUCUUGCUGUCACUUAUAGAUGGAUCCGCGCUGCAUUAGCUAGUUGGUAAGGUAACGGCUUACCAAGGCAACGAUGCAUAGCCGACCUGAGAGGGGGAUCGGCCACACUGGAACUGAGACACGGUCCAGACUCCUACGGGAGGCAGCAGUAGGGAAUCUUCCGCAAUGGGCGAAAGCCUGACGGAGCAACGCCGCGUGAGUGAUGAAGGUCUUCGGAUCGUAAACUCUGUUAUUAGGGAAGAACAUAUGUGUAAGUAACUGUGCACAUCUUGACGGUACCUAAUCAGAAAGCCACGGCUAACUACGUG